Crenichthys baileyi (White River springfish) is the source of this 73-nucleotide non-coding RNA. Lineage: Eukaryota; Metazoa; Chordata; Actinopteri; Cyprinodontiformes; Goodeidae. The record is from the annotation of a GenBank genome assembly.
UCCCUGGUGGUCUAGUGGACAGGAUUUGGUGCUUUCACCGCCAGGCCCCCGGGUUUUCAUUCCGGUCAGGGAA